This 376-nucleotide ribosomal RNA is filed under the name uncultured bacterium. RNAcentral's name for it is "bacterial SSU rRNA". It matches the Rfam family "Bacterial small subunit ribosomal RNA", at positions 28 to 408 of the family's 1533-position model. The record is from RNAcentral.
GACGAACGCUGGCGGCGUGCUUAACACAUGCAAGUCGAGCGGAAAGGCCCUUCGGGGUACUCGAGCGGCGAACGGGUGAGUAACACGUGAGUAACCUGCCCUUGGCUCUGGGAUAGCUCCGGGAAACCGGAAUUAAUACCGGAUAUGACCUCGGCCGACAUCGGCUGUGGUGGAAAGAUUUAUCGGCCAGGGAUGGGCUCGCGGCCUAUCAGCUAGUUGGUGGGGUAACGGCCUACCAAGGCGACGACGGGUAGCCGGCCUGAGAGGGCGACCGGCCACACUGGGACUGAGACACGGCCCAGACUCCUACGGGAGGCAGCAGUGGGGAAUAUUGCGCAAUGGGCGAAAGCCUGACGCAGCGACGCCGCGUGGGGGA